AACGACUCUCGGCAACGGAUAUCUCGGCUCUCGCAUCGAUGAAGAACGCAGCGAAAUGCGAUACUUGGUGUGAAUUGCAGAAUCCCGUGAACCAUCGAGUUUUUGAACGCAAGUUGCGCCCAAAGUCUUUCGACCGAGGGCACGUCUGCCUGGGUGUCACGC
Molecule: ribosomal RNA, 162 nt
Filed under: Croton palanostigma
Lineage: Eukaryota; Viridiplantae; Streptophyta; Magnoliopsida; Malpighiales; Euphorbiaceae
Description: 5.8S ribosomal RNA
Rfam family: 5.8S ribosomal RNA
About the family: 5.8S ribosomal RNA (5.8S rRNA) is a component of the large subunit of the eukaryotic ribosome. It is transcribed by RNA polymerase I as part of the 45S precursor that also contains 18S and 28S rRNA.
Source: RNAcentral